RNAcentral lists this ribosomal RNA (497 nucleotides) under uncultured bacterium. RNAcentral's name for it is "partial 16S ribosomal RNA". It matches the Rfam family "Bacterial small subunit ribosomal RNA", at positions 28 to 507 of the family's 1533-position model. The record is from RNAcentral.
GAUGAACGCUGGCGGCGUGCCUAAUACAUGCAAGUCGAGCGAACAGACGAGGAGCUUGCUCCUCUGACGUUAGCGGCGGACGGGUGAGUAACACGUGGAUAACCUACCUAUAAGACUGGGAUAACUUCGGGAAACCGGAGCUAAUACCGGAUAAUAUAUUGAACCGCAUGGGUCAAUAGUGAAAGACGGUUUUGCUGUCACUUAUAGAUGGAUCCGCGCCGCAUUAGCUAGUUGGUAAGGUAACGGCUUACCAAGGCAACGAUGCGUAGCCGAGCUGAGAGGGUGAUCGGCCACACUGGAACUUAGACACGGUCCAGGCUCCUACGGGAGGCAGCAGUAGGGAAUCUUCCGCAAUGGGCGAAAGCCUGACGGAGCAACGCCGCGUGAGUGAUGAAGGUCUUCGGAUCGUAAAACUCUGUUAUUAGGGAAGAACAAAUGUGUAAGUAACUAUGCACGUCUUGACGGUACCUAAUCAGAAAGCCACGGCUAACUACGUG